This 253-nucleotide ribosomal RNA is filed under the name uncultured bacterium. RNAcentral describes it as "partial 16S ribosomal RNA". It matches the Rfam family "Bacterial small subunit ribosomal RNA", at positions 524 to 776 of the family's 1533-position model. The record is from RNAcentral.
UACGUGGGGAGCAAGCGUUGUUCGGAUUUACUGGGCGUAAAGCGCACGUAGGCGGGUCGUUAAGUCAGGGGUGAAAUCCCAGAGCUCAACUCUGGAACUGCCUUUGAUACUGGCGACCUAGAGUUCGGAAGAGGUUAGUGGAAUUCCCAGUGUAGAGGUGAAAUUCGUAGAUAUUGGGAAGAACACCAGUGGCGAAGGCGGCUAACUGGUCCGAUACUGACGCUGAGGUGCGAAAGCGUGGGGAGCAAACAGG